Non-coding RNA from Pelobates cultripes (western spadefoot toad), 277 nucleotides. The record is from the annotation of a GenBank genome assembly. Lineage: Eukaryota; Metazoa; Chordata; Amphibia; Anura; Pelobatidae.
CUGUGUGUAGAUGUGUAUGUAGCUAAGUGUGUGUGUGUUAGAUGUGUAUGUAGCUAGAUAUGUGAAGAUAUGUGUGCAUAGCUAGAUGUAUGUGUGUAGAUUAUUGUGUGUAUAGCUAAAUGUAUGUGUGCAGAUUAUUGUGUGUAGCUAGAUGUAUGUGUGUAGAUGUGUGUAGCUAGGUGUGUGUGUGUGUAGCUAGAUGUCUGUAUGUGUGUAGAUGUGUAGCUAGAUGUGUGUGUGUGUGUGUAGCUAUGCAUAUGUGAAAGUGUGUUUACAG